UACAGAGGGUGCGAGCGUUAAUCGGAAUUACUGGGCGUAAAGCGCGCGUAGGCGGCUUUGAAAGUCGGGUGUGAAAUCCCCAGGCUUAACCUGGGAACUGCAUUCGAGACUGCGUUGCUAGAGUAUGGGAUAGGGAAGUGGAAUUUCCGGUGUAGCGGUGAAAUGCGUAGAUAUCGGAAGGAACAUCAGUGGCGAAAGCGACUUCCUGGACCAAUACUGGCACUCAUGUGCGAAAGCGUGGGGAGCAAACAGG
RNAcentral lists this ribosomal RNA (253 nucleotides) under uncultured bacterium. RNAcentral's name for it is "partial 16S ribosomal RNA". It matches the Rfam family "Bacterial small subunit ribosomal RNA", at positions 524 to 776 of the family's 1533-position model. The record is from RNAcentral.